GGGGAGAAGCCCAGGCUGGGGACCACAAAAUAUGAAUGAGUCCUUCUUUCUCUCACCUCUUCCCAUAGAGGUAAUAGACCUGAAACUGAAAUUUUAGUUUAGUCACAUUAUAAAUUAAUUAGACUUUUGUGGGCUGGUCUAGCAGUAUACCAUCAAGUAUGUUUGUAAGUAUGAAAACCAUUGAAAUGGAAAUUAAAAUAGUCAUGUGUUCAGUUUUCAUAUAGAAAUGAGUAAUUCCCAAAGGACGAUUGAGCACUGUACAUUUUUUUCUGAGUUGGCCUGCAUUAGCCCUAUGGCAGCGUCCUUGGUAAGGUUGUUCUACAAAAGAUAAAUAUAAACUGAACCAAAAUGGACACCUGCUCUCCACACAUGGGGAAUGAAUUUAUUUAAUUUCCAUCAUGCCAUCAGCUUGAAUAUGAAGGCAAACUCCUUGAGGGUGGAGAGUUUUGUUUGUUUGAUUACUGUAAUAUCCCCUAAAUCUAAAAACAUUCUG
This 493-nucleotide long non-coding RNA is filed under the name Marmota monax (woodchuck). Lineage: Eukaryota; Metazoa; Chordata; Mammalia; Rodentia; Sciuridae. The record is from RNAcentral.